Molecule: ribosomal RNA, 497 nt
Filed under: uncultured bacterium
Lineage: Bacteria
Description: partial 16S ribosomal RNA
Rfam family: Bacterial small subunit ribosomal RNA
Source: RNAcentral
GAUGAACGCUGGCGGCGUGCCUAAUACAUGCAAGUCGAGCGAACAGACGAGGAGCUUGCUCCUCUGACGUUAGCGGCGGACGGGUGAGUAACACGUGGAUAACCUACCUAUAAGACUGGGAUAACUUCGGGAAACCGGAGCUAAUACCGGAUAAUAUAUUGAACCGCAUGGUUCAAUAGUGAAAGACGGUUUUGCUGUCACUUAUAGAUGGAUCCGCGCCGCAUUAGCUAGUUGGUAAGGUAACGGCUUACCAAGGCAACGAUGCGUAGCCGACCUGUGAGGGUGAGCGGCCACACUGGAACUGAGACACGGGCCAGACUCCUACGGGAGGCAGCAGUAGGGAGUCUUCCGCAAUGGGCGAGAGCCUGACGUAGCAACGCCGCGUGAGUGAUGAGGGUCUUCGGAUCGUAAAACUCUGUUAUGAGGGAAGAACAAAUGUGUAAGUAACUAUGCACGUCUUGAGGGUACCUAAUCAGAAAGCCACGGCUAACUACGUG